This is a non-coding RNA of Schistosoma mansoni, 45 nucleotides long. NCBI's taxonomy places the organism in Eukaryota, Metazoa, Platyhelminthes, Trematoda, Strigeidida, Schistosomatidae. The record is from Rfam.
ACCCAGCUGACGAGUCUCAAAUAGGACGAAACGCGCGUCCUGGAU